GGAGCUCCUGGUCCUGUAGGCCCCGCAGGUUCUCCUGGAAAAGAAGGCCUAAGGGGAAGACGCGGAAAACCAGGCCCCCCCGGCAAGCCAGGAACACCUGGACUUCCUAGUCAACAAGAACAAAGUGCCCAAAAAGGCGAAAAGGGGGACAUUGGUCCAAGAGGAUUACCCGGCCUGCCAGGAUUGGUUAAUUCAGUCUCGAAGGGUGAAAAGGGUGACCCUGGUGAAAUUGGAAUUAAAGGAGAACAAGGAGCUAAGG
Molecule: long non-coding RNA, 259 nt
Organism: Pelobates fuscus (common spadefoot toad)
Lineage: Eukaryota; Metazoa; Chordata; Amphibia; Anura; Pelobatidae
Exons: 6
Source: RefSeq, a predicted model, not a curated record